GACACGUGAAAUCCUGUCUGAAUAUGGGGGGACCAUCCUCCAAGGCUAAAUACUCAUCAUCGACCGAUAGUGAACCAGUACCGUGAGGGAAAGGCGAAAAGAACCCCGGGAGGGGAGUGAAAUAGAACCUGAAACCUGAUGCAUACAAACAGUGGGAGCACCCUUGUGGUGUGACUGCGUACCUUUUGUAUAAUGGGUCAACGACUUACAUUCAGUAGCGAGCUUAACCGAAUAGGGGAGGCGUAGGGAAACCGAGUCUUAAUAGGGCGAACAGUUGCUGGGUGUAGACCCGAAACCGAGUGAUCUAUCCAUGGCCAGGUUGAAGGUGCCGUAACAGGUACUGGAGGACCGAACCCACGCAUGUUGCAAAAUGCGGGGAUGAGCUGUGGAUAGGGGUGAAAGGCUAAACAAACUCGGAGAUAGCUGGUUCUCCCCGAAAACUAUUUAGGUAGUGCCUCGAGCAAGACACUGAUGGGGGUAAAGCACUGUUAUGGCUAGGGGGUUAUUGCAACUUACCAACCCAUGGCAAACUAAGAAUACCAUCAAGUGGUUCCUCGGGAGACAGACAGCGGGUGCUAACGUCCGUUGUCAAGAGGGAAACAACCCAGACCGCCAGCUAAGGUCCCAAAUGAUAGAUUAAGUGGUAAACGAAGUGGGAAGGCCCAGACAGCCAGGAUGUUGGCUUAGAAGCAGCCAUCAUUUAAAGAAAGCGUAAUAGCUCACUGGUCGAGUCGUCCUGCGCGGAAGAUGUAACGGGGCUCAAAUCUAUAACCGAAGCUGCGGAUGCCAGUUUACUGGCAUGGUAGGGGAGCGUUCUGUAGGCCGAUGAAGGUGCAUUGUAAAGUGUGCUGGAGGUAUCAGAAGUGCGAAUGUUGACAUGAGUAGCGAUAAAGCGGGUGAAAAGCCCGCUCGCCGAAAGCCCAAGGUUUCCUACGCAACGUUCAUCGGCGUAGGGUGAGUCGGCCCCUAAGGCGAGGCAGAAAUGCGUAGUCGAUGGGAAACAGGUUAAUAUUCCUGUACUUGAUUCAAAUGCGAUGUGGGGACGGAGAAGGUUAGGUUAGCAAGCUGUUGGAAUAGCUUGUUUAAGCCGGUAGGUGGAAGACUUAGGCAAAUCCGGGUCUUCUUAACACCGAGAAGUGACGACGAGUGUCUACGGACAUGAAGUAACCGAUACCACGCUUCCAGGAAAAGCCACUAAGCUUCAGUUUGAAUCGAACCGUACCGCAAACCGACACAGGUGGGCAGGAUGAGAAUUCUAAGGCGCUUGAGAGAACUCGGGAGAAGGAACUCGGCAAAUUGAUACCGUAACUUCGGGAGAAGGUAUGCCCUCUAAGGUUAAGGACUUGCUCCGUAAGCCUCGGAGGGUCGCAGAGAAUAGGUGGCUGCGACUGUUUAUUAAAAACACAGCACUCUGCUAACACGAAAGUGGACGUAUAGGGUGUGACGCCUGCCCGGUGCUGGAAGGUUAAUUGAAGAUGUGAGAGCAUCGGAUCGAAGCCCCAGUAAACGGCGGCCGUAACUAUAACGGUCCUAAGGUAGCGAAAUUCCUUGUCGGGUAAG
Molecule: ribosomal RNA, 1560 nt
Filed under: human metagenome
Description: bacterial LSU rRNA
Rfam family: Bacterial large subunit ribosomal RNA
Source: RNAcentral